CACCGCGGUUAGACGUGAGACCCAAAUUGAUAGACACGGCGUAAAGGGUGGUUAAAAUCAUCAUGUGCUAGGGCCGAACUUACCCCAUACUGUUAUACGUUACGGACUAAUGAAGCUCGCAAACGAAAGUAGCCCUAAACAAUUGAAACCACGAAAGCUAGGGGA
Molecule: ribosomal RNA, 165 nt
Filed under: Neosynchiropus sp. OCF-P2900
Lineage: Eukaryota; Metazoa; Chordata; Actinopteri; Syngnathiformes; Callionymidae
Description: partial 12S rRNA
Source: RNAcentral